Molecule: long non-coding RNA, 7266 nt
Organism: Loxodonta africana (African savanna elephant)
Lineage: Eukaryota; Metazoa; Chordata; Mammalia; Proboscidea; Elephantidae
Exons: 2
Source: RefSeq, a predicted model, not a curated record
UCUCUCAUACCUGGCCUGACCUUGAAAUUUCCAGUUUACCUGAGACACAGCCAGGCUUGUGGCUGAGCCCUGAGCUGAAGCCAGGGAAGGCUCCACAAGCAUUUGGCUUCCAGCUUGGUCUAGAUGGAGGCUGUUUGCAUCUGUCAAAUGCAUGGAGCUCAGCCCCAUACCUCACCUCGGUCUGGCUCACCUCUGCCUUGGAGCUCACUCUGUUUCUUCACCUGGUGAACACCUUCAGUACAGGCAGCGAUCAGUCUAUUGAGAUAACUGUGAACUUCUUCUGUGAACUGAGCACUUGACCCCCACACUGGAGGGCAAAGGAGUGUCAGGAGGCAAGUUCCCUGCCACCAAGAUACUCUCCCACUUAGCAGCACUGAGUACCUGACUAGAAGCAGGACCAUGUGGUGUAUUUCCCAUAGAAUGGAUUGGUUUGUUCUCAGUGACGAGGGGUUAUUUUUCAUGAAUAUCACUAUUAUCCAGAAUUUGUCUUCCUCUUUCAAGUUUCUUCUAGAGAAAAGUCUGCCAGUGUUUGUUGAGGAGGCGCUAGUUUUUUUUUUAAUUUUUUAUUGUACUUUAGAUGAAGGUUUACAGAACAAACUAGUUUCUCAUUAAACAGUCAGCACACACAUUGUUCUAUGACAUUGGUUAACAACCCCAAGACAUGUCAGCCCUCUUCCUUUCCAACCUUGGGUUCAAGGAGAAGCUAGUUUUUAUUUUCUCUAGCCAGGGGUUGUGGCGGGGUCUCUAAGGUGGGCAUGAUGGGGAGGGGAGGGCUUUCUCAGGGGUGGGCUGGAGCUGCUCCUAGGGGCUCCCAUGGGCUGAUUAAGUACUCAGAAAAAUUUGUUGGCUGGUUGGCCAUGGUAGGGGUAUUUACACCACGAAACACUACAAAUCAGGUUGUUUUCAUGGCUUUUCCCUCCCUUAUAAAAAAAAAAACCCGUUUCCAUAGAGUUGAUUCCGACUCAGGGUAACCCCACGUGUGUUAGUGUAGAACUGUGUUUUAUGGGGUUUUCAAUGGUUGAUUUUUUGGAAGUAGAUCGCCAAGCCCCUCUUCCGAGGCACCUCUGGGUGGGAUCACACUGCCAACCUUUCAGUUAGUAGAGGAGUGCUUAACCUUUGUGCCACCCAGGGACUCCUGGGGACAGGGAGAGAAUGUGAAAUAAUCCAUAGUACAUAGGCCCUUCGUGGAUAGCGUACAGCUGCUGUUGGUGCCUGGCCUAGAGGCCCUUCCUGUGCCCAGUGGCUGCCGCCAGUGAUCGCCAAGAGCUUUCCCCUACAGCCUUCUCCAGAGACUUGCCAUUGGCUGAAGGGAGACUGCCUGGCCCGGAGAGGGCACACCACCCCUCCUCCCCUUCCCAUUCUAGGAUACGAAAGCCUUGCCGCAAGGUGAGAGGCCUGUGUAAGGGUUAUAAACUGCCAAUGCUUAAGACCUUAGCAUCUUUCAGUUUUCGUAACUUAAAGGAAGUUAGCAAAUGCCUGAGAAUAGAAUAAACCCUUAUCAUUAUAGUGAAACGAUAAAAGUUUGGAUUAUUUUCCUUCAGUUUCCUUUGUGCAGCAAACCCUGAAAGUAUUCAUUUCAGAAAGAAACAAGUUGCUAUUGAGUCGGUUCCAGCUCGUGACGACCCAAUGUGUGUCAAAGUAGAAGUGUGCUCCAGAGGGUUUUCAAUGGCUGAUUUUUCAGAAGCAGAUCUCCAGGCCCGUCUUCCAAGAUGCCUCCAGAUGGACUCAAACCUCCAACCUUCCAGUUGGCAGCCAAGUGUGUUAAAUGCUUGCACCACCCAGAGGCUCCAUCAGAAAACUCUCUUACACACGGGUAGGCUCCUUUGGAAAGAUGACUCUGGAGAGGUGAUGUUUGAAUUAGAGCAGAAUGGCUGAAAGGAACCAACCAUGCAAAGACUUGGAGGAGGAGGAGGAGGAGGGCACGGAGUCCCCGAGCACGUCUGAGGAGUGGAAAGAAGGCCCAGGUGACAGGGAGCCUGGCGGGAGGAGGUCAUACUGCUCUGUGGUGGCACAAAGUUCUGUGGCAUGUUGUAGGUCGCAAUGAGGAGUUUGGGUUGUUUCUAGGCAUCGCCAUUCACAAACACCUUUCCUAUAAGAAUAACUAAAACUGGUAUUUCCUAACAUAUGUGACGAACAGUACAAAAUACUGCUCAUUUCUCCAGGUCUGUGCACAUUGCAGGGUCCCAGCUAAAUCACUGGAGUUCGAGACAAAUGUGCCACUACUGCUUGCUGGGGGCGAGGGGGAGAGGGAAGGGAUGGAUAGGAUAGGUGGAGCCCAACCAUUUUCAGGGCAGUGACACUAUCCUGCAUGAUACCCCAAUGGUGCACACAUGACAUUAUAAUUCAUCCAAAUCUGCAGGACUCUGCAACAUAAAGGGUGAACCCUAGUGUAAACUGUGGACUUUAGUUAAUAAUAGUGUAUCAAUAUUGCUUCAUGAAUUGUAGCCAAUGUACCAGGAAGGCAAGAUGUUAAUAUAAAUAGAGAAAACUGUGGGGGCGGAGGGAGGAGGUGUAUGGGAACUGUUUGUACUGUCUGCACAGUUCUGUAUGCUCUAAAAGGUAAAGCCUAAUAAUAAAUGAAUAAAUGUGCCAGGACUCCUGCUUUCAGACCCACACACCUUCGCCUCUCAUAGGUACACAGCCCUCAAUCGGUCCCAUAACUUGAAAUCUCAGUGUUCCAACAUCAUGGUCAGUUUCAAGUGGCACACACGUGUCUGUUCAGGCUCAUUCUCCUGAAAGGAGGUGUCAGGUGUUAGGGCCAUCAGGGGUCAGCGUGGACUCCUCCAGAUAUCUCAAGGGCUGUUCUUGAGACUUGCCGAGGGGAAAAUGAGCAACGGUCAGAGCUGGUUUAUCAGGCUUCCAGCCUGGAUCAGAGUCUCCACAAAAGGUUGCUUUAUCCAGAUGCGCUGAAGGAGAAUGUCUGGUGGACACCCUGGGAUUCGGUCAGUGAUUGCGAUGGAAAUCAGACAGUCUUACAUAAUUUUUUUUUUCCAAUUCAUUUUGUCCUCUUGUUUAUCAAAAUGGCUUCUUGGGUACUUUCCAUGAGCUCGGCACUGUUGUGGUGCUGGUGUGACAGGUAUAAAAGGCAGUCUUUCCUGGGCUAGAGGGGAUGCCCUGGGAGGUGUUAAUGGGUGUGUUGAUGAAGUCCUGCAUGACUCUCCGAGUUGUCUAGCUCCCCAAGGAGAAGCUCCAGCAGAGGGGCAUCAGGUAUAGAAAAAUUCUGGCCUGCCCGAGGAAAGAGUCCUCAAGCAAGCUCUGGAGAGAUGAGGCCACAGGGGCUGGAUCCUGAAGAGUCUUGACUGAGUUUUGCUUUUAGUUUGGAGGCAAUGGAGAACCUUGGGCAUUUAAAAUAAGGAAAUGACAUAAUCAGCCUUAUAUUUUUAGUAUAUGAUUCUGGCUGUGAUAAGGGGGAAAAGGGAUGAAGGGCUUAGUUAUUAUUGGUACUAAUAAAUUACCUCAAGCUUAAUGCCUUAAAACAACCACCCAGUUUUCUUUGGGCCAGGAAUUGAACUGCUUAGAUGAGAGGAUCUGGCUUGGAGUCCCCCGGAAGGUGGCAGUCAAGAUGCUGGUUGACUCUGCAGACAUCUGAGGCUUGACAGGGUCUGGAUACCCAUUUCCAAGGUGGCUAACCUUCAUGGCUGGCAAGUUGGUGUUUGUUGGUGGUGGAUUGCCAGUUCCUUACCGUGUCAACCUCUUUCCAGAUUUCUUGUAUGUCCUUGUGACAUGGCAGCUGGCUUCCCUCGGAAUGCGUAAUCCAAGAGGGCAAGGUGGAGGUGGCAAUGCCUUUUAUGACCUCACCUCAUAAAUCACAUACUGUCACUUCAGCCACAUUCUGUUUGCUGGGAGAGAGUCACUAAGCCGAGCCCAUGUUCAAGGCUACAGGAGACUCCACCGUUGGAAGGGAGGAGUGUCAAAGAUCUGUGGACAUGACUGUGGUGGUUUGAACAUAAAAGAUUAUUUUGUAAUCCAGAUGAGAAAGGAAAAGGGAUGUAAUCUACCCCUAAACAGUGAGAAUAGGGGGCAGAUUUCAGAGAUAUUAAGAUUCUAAAAUCAACAGAGUUUAGAAACUAAUUGCAAUUAGUCUGAGCUGGGGUCAUCUAGGGGAGCUGCAUUGUCAAGGAGGAAGGGUAUGGUUAGGACAUGCUAACUAUGACAUGCCUUCUUACAGUUAAAUGGGUAUUUCAAACAGGCAGCUGUGCAUCUGGGCUUGUUUGAGAGGAGCUGUCUGGUGGGAUGAACCUGGGGGUUAUAGGCAUGAAAGCUGUGGAUGUAGAUGAGACAACAUAGGUAAAGGGGGGAAAAGGAAAAGAGCUAAGGUCACAGGGUAGAGCUCUGGGGAGGAAUUCCUUCAUUUGGCAAAGGAGACUGAGAAUGAGGCAAUCAGGGAGAUAGGAGAAAAACCAGAAAUGGUGGCCUCAUGGAAGCCAAGAGGAGGGGAUGGGCUCCUGUGUUGCCACCACUGAAAGGUCUCAUUGUAAGAUGCUUGGGUUUGGCGAUAUGGCAGUCACUGAUGACCCUGGCCAACGUUCUCCUGUGGAGUGGGUGCAGGUCAGACUGGAGAGGUGGGGAAGUGGAUAUCGACUGUGUUGACAUGUGUUUCAAGAAGAUUGGUUGUAAUAGAAGUGGUAAAGGGCAAUAAAUGGAGGUUUUAAAAAAUGUGUUUUAAUUCUUAUGGGAGGGCUGCAGUAGACAGUUCAAGAAGAGGGAGAGAGGGGAGGAAGAGUAAAGUGAGGCCAUGGAGGAGCAGCCUGCUUUGUCCUUUGGUGGGAUACUUCCUCCUUUCUAACAGGAAGGAAGAAGAUGGGGUUGGGGUUAGGUGAUGGGUAUCUGUAGCUCUGAUGUUCCCUCAGGUGGCUUCUAGUUUUGGUUAUGAAGUAUCAGGCUGUGUUAGUGGUACUCAGCUUUGGCCACACGUUAGAAUCACCUGGGGGACAUUUAAACCUCCUUUAUGCCCAGGCUGUCCUCUCAGGGCAUCAGUAUUUUUGGAAGUUUCCCAUGUAAAACCAGAGUGUAGCCAUGUGGAGGACCCCUGAAGUGGGUCACUCCUGAGAGUGAACUGGGAGGAGGUGGGGGCAGUCAGUGGGCCCGGGAUAAAAGGACGGUAGCAGAGUGUGGGAGAAGGUGAUGUCAGGGUUUUCUGAGGUAGGUGACCAUGGAGUUCCAGUGGUAACUAUCUGCUUGGUUAUGUGGUCAUCUCCAGGAGAGCUACCUGCUCGGUUGCAGGUUUCAUGAACAGUAACCUACUCAGUGCCGUCGAGUCGAUUCCGACUCAUGAACAGUAGGUGGUGUGAAAAUCUUAACCUCUGUGCCUCAGGUUUCAUUGUCUGAAAAAUGGGCGUAACGGUACCUACCUCAUAAGAAUGAUGUAGAAUUAAAUGAGGUAAUGAACAUAAAUGUAUAGCACAGCUCAUUGGAAAAGAAAAAGUUGCUGUUUAGUGGACUCUGACUCAUGGUGAUCCCACAUGUAUCAGAGUAGAACCAUGCUCCAUUGAAUUUUCAAUGGUGGAUCUUUCUGAAGUAGAUUGCCAGGUCUUUCUUCUAGGUGGACUCAAACCUCCAUUCUUUCUGUUGGCAACUGAAUGCGUUAGCCUUUUGCACACCAACCAGGGACUCCUGAACAGCUCAUAGCACAGAGUAAAUGCUCAAUAAAGUUUACUGUUGGCAUUAGCAAAUAACCUUGUUGACUAGAAUGUAGGACAUGAACAGGAGAGUAAUGAGAUAGGACUGUAAAAGCAUAUUUCUAGAGAAGAGUUUAUAUAAGAGGCCAUGAGGACUUCAGGUGGGUUUUGAGUUGGGGAUGAUUUAGAGUCUACUUUUGGAAUCCUGGGGAGGAAGUGGGUUGGAGAACUGUGGCAGAUUCGGCCACUUUGGCUGUUGUCACAGGGCCAUGGUGCCAUGUUCCAUUUAGAUUUCAUUUUGCUUUUCUCCUGCUCUGUUUGGGCCAAUGUGUAGUGUUAGACACAAAUGAUGACAUAUUAUAUUCCCACCCCUGGACCUGACUGGGGCUGUACGUAGGGAUUAGGGACAGGGAGACCUAAGGCUGUGUCCCGCAGAAGGGGCUUUCUGCAGGGGGGUCUGUUUCUGAUUGUUCUUAUCAUCCCUGCUGGUGUAUUUACCCUGUCUGGCUACUGGCUGGGAAACCCUGGUGGCAUAGUGGUUAAGUGCUACAGCUGCUAACCAAAGGGUUAGCAGUUCAAAUCCACCAGGCACUCCUUGGAACUCUAUGGGGCAGUUCUACCCUGUCCUGUAGGGUCGCUAUGAGUCGGAAUCGACUCAACGGCACUGGGUUUGGCUUCUUUUGGUUGGCUACUGGCUGAGCAGGCAAGAAGGAACACAUUUUUCCAAACUGGUUUCAGCAUGGCAUUCUCAAUCCUAUUGAAAGAAGCCCCAUGUCCUGAUGCAAGGAACUCUGGGACCCAUGCUGGAAAUGAGAGAAGUCAUCUCAGAAGGCAGCACCUAACCAGAGUGGCUUCUUGUCUCUGGGGCACGGAGUCAAGGAAGUGACGUGUGCUCAGUGUACAUUUUUGCAGCAUGACCUUCAGCCAUGGUAAUCAUUACUGUGGUAAAUCCUGCCCAAGAAUGUAGGGCUAUGGGGUAGUAAAGAACUCACUCACCCUGUACCACCAGUGGCCUCUGUCCUUGUCGACCAGAUGGCUGUCUUUCCUGCAGAGACUACAUGUCCCAGCACGCAUUGCACACCGUCCCAGCAUGCAUUGCCGCGUCCCCUGCUGAGAGGCUGGGAAGCUCUUCAUCACCUCCCCAAGGCUGAGGGAUUCUUCCUCACCUCCUCCAGACUGAGAGGCUCUUCCUCACCUCCCCCAGACACGGCCCCCCUUAUCUUCAGACAGGCUGACAGGUUGCCACACAGGUCCAGUCCUAGGCAAGUGCGUUGUUUCAAUGCCAUGGUAGCGACCUUUUUAUUCCUGAUGGCUUCUUUACUCCGUGACGAGACAAGCAAAGCAAGAUUUUAGCAGAGAGUACCACGACGGAUCAUUUGGUCAGGGACCCUGGCAAGCCUGAGGGUUUUGUCAGAUGGGAGCUGUAGUAGUGAGUAAAAAAAAGUGAAACCAGAUGUGCUUCCCUCCCGUGGCUUCCCAUCCACGCCGGGGCUGAGGGAGGAGGCUGUAAAAGUGUCUCAGCCCUCAACUGCCGAGGCCCGGAUUUAUGCGCCGGGUAACCCUGCACCAUAAAUCCACCGCCCUCACCGAAGCAGCAGCUUCCGACCGGCCGGGGCCCAGCUGUGGUGCUGACCGGAGAGGGCGGAUG